This 470-nucleotide ribosomal RNA is filed under the name Escherichia coli. Its description in RNAcentral is "bacterial LSU rRNA". It matches the Rfam family "Bacterial large subunit ribosomal RNA", at positions 722 to 1190 of the family's 2925-position model. Lineage: Bacteria; Pseudomonadati; Pseudomonadota; Gammaproteobacteria; Enterobacterales; Enterobacteriaceae. The record is from RNAcentral.
CCGGUGAUCUAGCCAUGGGCAGGUUGAAGGUUGGGUAACACUAACUGGAGGACCGAACCGACUAAUGUUGAAAAAUUAGCGGAUGACUUGUGGCUGGGGGGGAAAGGCCAAUCAAACCGGGAGAUAGCUGGUUCUCCCCGAAAGCUAUUUAGGUAGCGCCUCGUGAAUUCAUCUCCGGGGGUAGAGCACUGUUUCGGCAAGGGGGUCAUCCCGACUUACCAACCCGAUGCAAACUGCGAAUACCGGAGAAUGUUAUCACGGGAGACACACGGCGGGUGCUAACGUCCGUCGUGAAGAGGGAAACAACCCAGACCGCCAGCUAAGGUCCCAAAGUCAUGGUUAAGUGGGAAACGAUGUGGGAAGGCCCAGACAGCCAGGAUGUUGGCUUAGAAGCAGCCAUCAUUUAAAGAAAGCGUAAUAGCUCACUGGUCGAGUCGGCCUGCGCGGAAGAUGUAACGGGGCUAAACCAU